CAGUCCGCGGUAAUACGUAGGUGGCAAGCGUUGUCCGGAAUUAUUGGGCGUAAAGGGCUCGCAGGCGGUUUCUUAAGUCUGAUGUGAAAGCCCCCGGCUCAACCGGGGAGGGUCAUUGGAAACUGGGAAACUUGAGUGCAGAAGAGGAGAGUGGAAUUCCACGUGUAGCGGUGAAAUGCGUAGAGAUGUGGAGGAACACCAGUGGCGAAGGCGACUCUCUGGUCUGUAACUGACGCUGAGGAGCGAAAGCGUGGGGAGCGAACAGGAUUAGAUACCCCGGUAGUCCCUGUCUCUUAUACAC
RNAcentral lists this ribosomal RNA (301 nucleotides) under uncultured bacterium. RNAcentral's name for it is "partial 16S ribosomal RNA". It matches the Rfam family "Bacterial small subunit ribosomal RNA", at positions 512 to 809 of the family's 1533-position model. The record is from RNAcentral.